This 658-nucleotide ribosomal RNA is filed under the name Loktanella sp. MR05-91. RNAcentral's name for it is "bacterial SSU rRNA". It matches the Rfam family "Bacterial small subunit ribosomal RNA", at positions 36 to 741 of the family's 1533-position model. The record is from RNAcentral. Lineage: Bacteria; Pseudomonadati; Pseudomonadota; Alphaproteobacteria; Rhodobacterales; Roseobacteraceae.
CCGUCGUCAUUUCUUUCAUGCAGUCGAGCGCUUCACUUCGGUGAGGAGCGGCGGACGGGUUAGUAACGCGUGGGAAUAUACCCUUUUCUAUGGAAUAGCCUCGGGAAACUGAGAGUAAUACCAUAUACGCCCUUCGGGGGAAAGAUUUAUCGGUGAAGGAUUAGCCCGCGUAAGAUUAGAUAGUUGGUGGGGUAAUGGCCUACCAAGUCUACGAUCUUUAGCUGGUUUGAGAGGAUGAUCAGCAACACUGGGACUGAGACACGGCCCAGACUCCUACGGGAGGCAGCAGUGGGGAAUCUUAGACAAUGGGCGCAAGCCUGAUCUAGCCAUGCCGCGUGAGUGACGAAGGCCUUAGGGUCGUAAAGCUCUUUCGCCAGAGAUGAUAAUGACAGUAUCUGGUAAAGAAACCCCGGCUAACUCCGUGCCAGCAGCCGCGGUAAUACGGAGGGGGUUAGCGUUGUUCGGAAUUACUGGGCGUAAAGCGUACGUAGGCGGAUUGGAAAGUAGGGGGUGAAAUCCCGGGGCUCAACCCCGGAACUGCCUCCUAAACUAUCAGUCUAGAGUUCGAGAGAGGUGAGUGGAAUUCCAAGUGUAGAGGUGAAAUUCGUAGAUAUUUGGAGGAACACCAGUGGCGAAGGCGGCUCACUGGCUCGAUACU